GCCGGUGUGGCGGAAUUGGCAGACGCGCGGGACUCAAAAAAUCCCGUUCCACUUGUGGAGUGUCGGUUCGACCCCGACCACCGGUA
This 86-nucleotide transfer RNA is filed under the name Staphylococcus aureus. RNAcentral's name for it is "tRNA-Leu". It matches the Rfam family "tRNA". Rfam says of the family: Transfer RNA (tRNA) molecules are approximately 80 nucleotides in length. Their secondary structure includes four short double-helical elements and three loops (D, anti-codon, and T loops). Further hydrogen bonds mediate the characteristic L-shaped molecular structure. tRNAs have two regions of fundamental functional importance: the anti-codon, which is responsible for specific mRNA codon recognition, and the 3' end, to which the tRNAs corresponding amino acid is attached (by aminoacyl-tRNA synthetases). tRNAs cope with the degeneracy of the genetic code in two manners: having more than one tRNA (with a specific anti-codon) for a particular amino acid; and 'wobble' base-pairing, i.e. permitting non-standard base-pairing at the 3rd anti-codon position. The record is from RNAcentral. Lineage: Bacteria; Bacillati; Bacillota; Bacilli; Caryophanales; Staphylococcaceae.